AUUGAACGCUGGCGGCAUGCCUAACACAUGCAAGUCGAACGAGACCUUCGGGUCUAGUGGCGCACGGGUGCGUAACGCGUGGGAACCUGCCUUUAGGUUCGGAAUAACAGUGAGAAAUUACUGCUAAUACCGGAUGAUGUCUUCGGACCAAAGAUUUAUCGCCUUUAGAUGGGCCCGCGUUGGAUUAGCUAGUUGGUGGGGUAAAGGCCUACCAAGGCGACGAUCCAUAGCUGGUCUGAGAGGAUGAUCAGCCACACUGGGACUGAGACACGGCCCAGACUCCUACGGGAGGCAGCAGUGGGGAAUAUUGGACAAUGGGCGAAAGCCUGAUCCAGCAAUGCCGCGUGAGUGAUGAAGGCCUUAGGGUUGUAAAGCUCUUUACCCGAGAUGAUAAUGACAGUAUCGGGAGAAUAAGCUCCGGCUAACUCCGUG
RNAcentral lists this ribosomal RNA (432 nucleotides) under uncultured bacterium. RNAcentral's name for it is "bacterial SSU rRNA". It matches the Rfam family "Bacterial small subunit ribosomal RNA", at positions 30 to 507 of the family's 1533-position model. The record is from RNAcentral.